This 497-nucleotide ribosomal RNA is filed under the name uncultured bacterium. RNAcentral's name for it is "partial 16S ribosomal RNA". It matches the Rfam family "Bacterial small subunit ribosomal RNA", at positions 28 to 507 of the family's 1533-position model. The record is from RNAcentral.
GAUGAACGCUGGCGGCGUGCCUAAUACAUGCAAGUCGAGCGAACAGACGAGGAGCUUGCUCCUCUGACGUUAGCGGCGGACGGGUGAGUAACACGUGGAUAACCUACCUAUAAGACUGGGAUAACUUCGGGAAACCGGAGCUAAUACUGGAUAAUAUAUUGAACCGCAUGGUUCAAUAGUGAAAGACGGUUUUGCUGUCACUUAUAGAUGGAUCCGCGCCGCAUUAGCUAGUUGGUAAGGUAACGGCUUACCAAGGCAACGAUGCGUAGCCGACCUGAGAGAGUGAUCGGCCACACUGGAACUGAGACACGGUCCAGACUCCUACGGGAGGCAGCAGUAGGGAAUCUUCCGCAAUGGGCGAAAGCCUGACGGAGCAACGCCGCGUGAGUGAUGAAGGUCUUCGGAUCGUAAAACUCUGUUAUUAGGGAAGAACAAAUGUGUAAGUAACUAUGCACGUCUUGACGGUACCUAAUCAGAAAGCCACGGCUAACUACGUG